Molecule: unclassified non-coding RNA, 274 nt
Filed under: fungal sp.
Lineage: Eukaryota; Fungi
Description: partial internal transcribed spacer region
Rfam family: Eukaryotic small subunit ribosomal RNA (bases 1-46)
Source: RNAcentral
AAGUCGUAACAAGGUCUCCGUAGGUGAACCUGCGGAGGGAUCAUUCACAUGAUAUACUUUAAACAAACUGUGAACUUUAUAAAAUACUAUUCGUGUGUGUUGUUGACUUUAUGUUAAUUUCAUACAUUGUCAUUCGAUUGAACAUAAGAUAGUUGGCUUGAAAUUGUAAUUUAUUACAUUUUCUUUCUCAGCUUUGAUUUGAUAUUACUAAACAUUUUAUCACUUCAACCAUAAAACAUAGAAACAACUCUAUGCCCUGGAUAUCUUGGUUCUC